This 422-nucleotide ribosomal RNA is filed under the name uncultured Alistipes sp. RNAcentral's name for it is "partial 16S ribosomal RNA". It matches the Rfam family "Bacterial small subunit ribosomal RNA", at positions 355 to 774 of the family's 1533-position model. Lineage: Bacteria; Pseudomonadati; Bacteroidota; Bacteroidia; Bacteroidales; Rikenellaceae. The record is from RNAcentral.
UGAGGAAUAUUGGUCAAUGGAGGCAACUCUGAACCAGCCAUGCCGCGUGCAGGAAGAAUGCUCUAUGAGUUGUAAACUGCUUUUGUACGAGGGUAAACCUUCUUACGUGUAAGAAGCUGAAAGUAUCGUACGAAUAAGGGUCGGCUAACUCCGUGCCAGCAGCCGCGGUAAUACGGAGGACCCGAGCGUUAUCCGGAUUUAUUGGGUUUAAAGGGUGCGUAGGUGGUUUAAUAAGUUAGAGGUGAAAUCCACAGGCUCAACCUGUGAUGUGCCUCUAAUACUGUUAAACUAGAGAUUGGAUGCAGCUGGCGGAAUGUGUGGUGUAGCGGUGAAAUGCUUAGAUAUCACACAGAACACCGAUUGCGAAGGCAGCUGGCUAAUCCACAUCUGACACUGAGGCACGAAAGCGUGGGGAUCAAACA